GACGAACGCUGGCGGCGUGCUUAACACAUGCAAGUCGAACGGAAAGGCCCUGCUUUUGUGGGGUGCUCGAGUGGCGAACGGGUGAGUAACACGUGAGUAACCUGCCCUUGACUUUGGGAUAACUUCAGGAAACUGGGGCUAAUACCGGAUAGGAGCUCCUGCUGCAUGGUGGGGGUUGGAAAGUUUCGGCGGUUGGGGAUGGACUCGCGGCUUAUCAGCUUGUUGGUGGGGUAGUGGUUUACCAAGGCUUUGACGGGUAGCCGGCCUGGGAGGGUGACCGGCCACAUUGGGACUGAGAUACGGCCCAGACUCCUACGGGGGGCAGCAGUGGGGAAUAUUGCACAAUGGGCGGAAGCCUGAUGCAGCAACGCCGCGUGCGGAAUGACGGCCUUCGGGUUGUAAACCGCUUUCGCCUGUGACGAAGCGUGAGUGACGGUAAUGGGUAAAGAAGCACCGGCUAACUACGUG
This 468-nucleotide ribosomal RNA is filed under the name uncultured bacterium. Its description in RNAcentral is "partial 16S ribosomal RNA". It matches the Rfam family "Bacterial small subunit ribosomal RNA", at positions 28 to 507 of the family's 1533-position model. The record is from RNAcentral.